UACAGAGGGGGCAAGCGUUGUUCGGAAUUACUGGGCGUAAAGCGCGCGUAGGCGGCUUUGCAAGCCGGAUGUGAAAUCCCCGGGCUUAACCUGGGAACUGCAUUCGGGACUGCAUUGCUAGAGUAUGGGAGAGGGAAGUGGAAUUUCAGGUGUAGCGGUGAAAUGCGUAGAUAUCUGAAGGAACAUCAGUGGCGAAAGCGACUUCCUGGACCAAUACUGACGCUCAUGUGCGAAAGCGUGGGGAGCAAACAGG
RNAcentral lists this ribosomal RNA (253 nucleotides) under uncultured bacterium. RNAcentral's name for it is "partial 16S ribosomal RNA". It matches the Rfam family "Bacterial small subunit ribosomal RNA", at positions 524 to 776 of the family's 1533-position model. The record is from RNAcentral.